Pteropus vampyrus (large flying fox) is the source of this 111-nucleotide small nuclear RNA. The record is from Ensembl. NCBI's taxonomy places the organism in Eukaryota, Metazoa, Chordata, Mammalia, Chiroptera, Pteropodidae.
AUGUGCUCCCUUUGGCAACACAUAUAUACUAAAAUUGUAAAGAUACAGAGACAAUGAACAUGGCUCCUGUGUAAGGAUGACAUACAAAUGCAUGAUGUAUUCCAUAUUUUU